Molecule: ribosomal RNA, 160 nt
Filed under: uncultured archaeon
Lineage: Archaea
Description: partial 16S ribosomal RNA
Rfam family: Archaeal small subunit ribosomal RNA
Source: RNAcentral
CACAAGGGGUGAAGCCUGCGGUUCAAUUGGAGUCAACGCCGGGAAUCUUACCGGGGGCGACAGCAGGGUGAAGGUCAAGCUGAAGACUUUACUAGACAAGCUGAGAGGAGGUGCAUGGCCGUCGCCAGCUCGUGCCGUGAGGUAUCCCGUUAAGUCAGGU